RNAcentral lists this long non-coding RNA (1375 nucleotides) under Trifolium pratense (red clover). Its description in RNAcentral is "long non-coding RNA (TPRA_LNC014262)". Lineage: Eukaryota; Viridiplantae; Streptophyta; Magnoliopsida; Fabales; Fabaceae. The record is from RNAcentral.
UUUAUUCUUUCAAAUUCCCAAAUCAGUUUUUUUCUCAAUCAAAUUAACAACAAUCAAUACAAACCUCUAUUUUCUAAAUCAACAAAAAAAGCAUGGAAAUAAAAUAUUAUGAAAAGGAAAGAAAGAAUGGUCACCGGCGGCAAAAGAGGAGCUCUAGCGCAGGGAGAGAGCAGAUUCGCAACAGAGGAGGUGGUGAUGAGUGGCGGCGGAUUCGACGGCAGUGAAAGUGACUCGGUGGUUCGCCGUAUUUGCAGCGGCAACGAGAGCUCCUUUUCUUUAUUAUUCUGCUCCUUCUCUGUUUCUUUCUCCCUUUCAAUUUGAUUUCGUUUCUAUUCUUCUUUGCUAUGAUUUUUCUUCUUUUUGAUGUUAUUGCUUUUUGACAGUGGGUUUUUGAUUUUUAUGGUGGUUUGUAUUGGUGGUGAUAUGUUGAAGAUGGUGGCUGAUGUGUGAUUGGUAAUGAUGGUGUUGAUGGAUGGUUGAGAGAAGGCGCAGUAACAAUGUUGCGACCGUUGUUAUUAUUUUUUUCCUCUCAAAUUUUCUCUAUGUUAGAACUUUGGUUGCAAUUGUGUUAUUUAUGUUUUCUCUCUCACAAACUCAAUGCCUCUCACAAACUCAAUGCCUUCCCUCAAAUUCAGCCAUUACCCUCUAUUUAUAGAAGAAAUCAAUCAGAGGAGUUUGAACAAAAUGCAAUUCAAAUUCAUCAAAAGUCAAGCACAACAGUGUAUGAAACCUGCACCCAAUCUGCCUCUUGUCAAACUCCAAUUUUCUGCACCGAAAGGCUACACCAUAGCCUUGCAAAUCAGAAGAAAAAUGGCUAUGCUUUUAAUGCAUCAAAGAAAAAUCAACCUGCAAAUUGUGUGCUGAAGAUCUUCUGGCUAGACUAAAUCCCACAAUAUAUGCACAAUACUGUUUUGUUUGUUUCUUUGUGGANNNNNNNNNNNNNNNGAGAUUCACCUUCAUGAUUAAGUGUAGCUAAGGCUCUUUUGUGAGAAAAUAGCAAAGUGAAUGGGAGGCGCCGCACUAUUGCUGCUGUGUUGCUCAGUUUCUUUUUUUUCAUUUUUUUUAUAAUAACAAUAACUAUCUUUUACUAGUAAAAGGAAGGUUGAGUUGCUCAUAAGCAAGCAUUGUGAUGAUGUGGCACUCUAAAAAAUAGUUCCUAAUCUCUAUUAAAAUCUUAAUAUCGUCUCUUUUAAUUUAUUAAAUUAAAUUUUUUUUAAAAAAACUAAUGCAUUAUUUAGCAUCAUCAUAAUUGUAUGCAUCCUUUAACAUUCCUCCAAAUAUAACUUACAAAGUAGAAAAGUUUAGUGACUUUCACUCUCUCUCACACUCUUUAUAACCACCACCUCACAUUCAUUUUCUACUCAUUCCUAAAUCU